Molecule: ribosomal RNA, 288 nt
Filed under: uncultured bacterium
Lineage: Bacteria
Description: partial 16S ribosomal RNA
Rfam family: Bacterial small subunit ribosomal RNA
Source: RNAcentral
GAUUAACGCUGGCGGCGUGCCUAACACAUGCAAGUCGAACGAGGUAGCAAUACCUAGUGGCAGACGGGUGAGUAACGCGUGGUCAACCUACCGUUGAGUGGGGGAUAACUAGCCGAAAGGUUAGCUAAUACGCAUACGUCUCCGAGGGGCAUCCCUUGGCGAUAAAAGGAGCAAAUCCGCUCGAUGACGGGACCGCGUCCCAUUAGCUAGAUGGUGGGUAACGGCCUACCAUGGCACCGAUGGGUAGCUGGUUUGAGAGAGCGACCAGCCACACUGGGACUGAGAAAC